UGAACCCAGCCCUUGGUGUUCAAAAUCACUUUUAGGAGAAGUAGAGCUUUUUCUUUCAUGUAUCUGGACCAGUAGUUCACUUACUCUGGAAGUCAGAGGCCCUAUGGACUGCCCAGCCCAGCUGCUGUGGAAUGUGGCAGAGAAAGAGGGUGAGAGGGCCUGAAUGGCUCCCAUGCCAGGAGUAUUAUGCAAACACGGGAGAAAAAACCAUGCCUCCUCUACUGGUCUACAGGAGCACUUGAAAACCUGCUCAUCUGCAAGCAAUGGGGCUCGACUCUACAUCACAGCAGUGGAUACUGCAUCGCCUUCGAGAACCCAAUGACUGAAGGAGAGGUUCUGUCCUGUGCACUUCCCUGGUCCUGUGUAGUCACUAAGCAUCUGAUGCCUGAUCCAGAAGAACAGAGUGACCACCAGCCCAGACUUGGUCACCAAAAGGACUUUCCUAGACUUGGUCACCAACUUCAACUUUCUGAGUUUCCUAUUAAACAGCCUUGGGCAAGCCCCAUGAACCUCUUGUGCUUAUAUUCUUCAUAUGUAAGGGCUGACAGCAGACCCACCUCACAUGGAUAUUGUGAGGGUUAAAGGGAUAACGUAUGGAAAAUAUUUAACCCAGUGCUGGGCACACAUUAAAUGCUAGAUAAAUAACAGCCACGACUCCUGACGCUAUUCAUACAAGUUUCAAGUUUGAUGGCCGAGAUCUGGAGUUUGGAAACUUGCAAGCCUAAUUUACAAGGCUACCACCCCCACCUGUGUUGGAUUCUGCAUGCAGCAGCUACUUCAAUCUUCCAGACUUGAUGCCAUCUUCACUUUAAUAAAUCAGCUUUCC
Molecule: long non-coding RNA, 826 nt
Filed under: Rhinopithecus roxellana (golden snub-nosed monkey)
Lineage: Eukaryota; Metazoa; Chordata; Mammalia; Primates; Cercopithecidae
Description: lncRNA (ENSRROG00000045893.1)
Source: RNAcentral